This is a long non-coding RNA of Drosophila miranda, 2367 nucleotides long. RefSeq lists it as uncharacterized. Lineage: Eukaryota; Metazoa; Arthropoda; Insecta; Diptera; Drosophilidae. The transcript has 4 exons. The record is from RefSeq and is a predicted model, not a curated record.
UUUUUUUCCAACUAACCAUGUGCAUCGAAUCAAAAGUCGCGGAUAUAUUUUACUGUAACUAAGACAACAGAAAAAAGCCUGCCGUGGCCUACACUGCUGAAGUGAGGACUUUCCCCAGGAGCGAUGUCCUCAACGACUAUCCGGCAGUAUCUUGAACUUGAAGUUGAGGUGAAGAAAAUUCAUAUCUUAGUACUCUCUGGCCACCGUCCACCAAAAUGCAACAAUGAAUGGCAACAAAAAAUAGUUCGCGCCUAGGAUCUAUUUCAAAUCGUAAUUCGAAUUUCAAAUCGUUCAUGACAGAAAAGAGACUAAAAUACACAAAAAAAAAUAAAUAACGGAGAUAGCAGAAACUGGUUGUGCCAUUAAAUAAACAAACAAUAAACGCUGCAGCUCUAGUGUUGUUUCUACAAGCGGAUUAAACUGGAAAAGUCCAGGAAUUACAGGAGGAGCACCAGGAAACAAAGCGAGAGAUAUUCCAGCAAACUGCAAGCAAUCAAGGGCAAACUAACUUCCAAACAGAGCUGCUGCAAUUUUAAGGGAGUCUAAAGAGUCCACAACUUUUGUGUGCCGUUUAAAAGUACAUAUAUAAACACUAAAAGUCUCCUAAUUAUAAAUGUGUACUCCCAUUUGGUUGCAACAGUUGCCCGGAGUGCACUUUCCAUUGCCACAAAAGCCAUUAAAUAAAUUAGAAAAUUUCAACUGGUCGGGCAUCAAUAAGCAGCGAGUCCUUGUUAGUUCCAAGUGUUAGUUUUCCCUUUGGGUGAUAAACUUUUGUAAUUAGCUUCAGGGGCACCAAGAUGCGAAGAACUAUCUAAUCAUAUUGAAAUAAGAUGGUGUCCAUCUCCAAUUGUGUUGAAGUAUCCAUAUAUGUAUGAUUCGUAAUUCAAUUUGACUUUAUCCUAUUCACGCUUUAAAUCGUUUCAGCAGCCGGAAACAGGAAGCUUCAUGAGAGGAAUUAAUCUACGAUUUUUGCAGUACAAUUUUUUAUAUUUGGCAAGAAAUUGGAAUACAUUAUCGCCAUCAACGCAGCUACUGCCUUGAGGUGUAGCAGUACGUGGAAUUAGGUUUAAUUUUCUCCUUAAAUGGUAAACAUAAGCUUGGCUGAAAUGAAUUUCCUUUCACAGGAAGCUCCAGAGAGGAGAAUUAAAUUGGAUUGAGCCCAGAGUUCGGAGUGCGCCUGUGGCACUGGGAAAUUUUCAUUGAAUGUAAUGUACUGCUUACUGGCAUUUGGCUGAACAAGAACAUAAAAUCCAGCACAAAAGCACUACAAACUAUGGAAAUUAUUACUCUGGCGAAUAUAUGACCAUUACGACAGAAAUUGUUGACUGAUUGUUAGCUUUAAUAUAAAAUAGAAUUAUUUUGUAUCUAAGCAGCUGAAUAUUAUACAAACUGUAGUGAAUUUUACAAUAGUAUUGUGUGUGCUUACAUAAUCGAUAAACUAUAAAAAAAUGAAGCCAAAGUAUAAGCAAUAAACCCCUUAACGGAAGCAAUUGAAAAUCGAAAAAUAGCAACAUGGAAAUUGAUGCCCAUCUUUGGAUUUUCCCAGCCAUUAUUCUUUAAUUUUCCCAGCAUAGAAUGGGGCUUCUGGCCCCAACAAUGGCAAUAAUAACUAAAAAGGCUUUUGUAUUUGAUGUCCAUUAAAAAAGAGUACAACGAAUACAUGGAGUAAAAUGGAACAAAGGCAUUGACAGCUGCAAAACAAUUGCACAACUAAUCAAUGAGGGCCAUCAAUGGACGCCAGUAAGAACAGGAGAGAGUGCAAUGAGAGUGGAAAUAAGUAAAGAAAAAACAUUAGGAAAACAAUUAAACUAAUUGCCGUCAAUUUAUACGCAACAAAGACAAAGACACACUGUGCAAAAGGGAAACCAGAAACGAAAGAAAACGGAAAAGUUCAUACAAAAAAACCAAAAAGUUUUAUAGGAGAAAACUGAUGCUGCUGGAAAGUUUUGCCCAGCACCAAAAAGUAAACCGCUAAAUGAAGGAAGUCGGAGGAAAAGCUCGAAUAGAGCGGGCAUCCAUUAACUUGGCCACUAAUGAAACCACAUUGAGAGAGUAACCAGCAGCAACACCACCAACAUUUCUACCACUGGCAACAUCUAACUAAUUGACACCGUCUUGCGAAUUAGUUCACUGCACAGAAAAAUUCUGAUUGCAUUGCCCAUACGACUCGCGUGACAGACGCGCUCCCCUCCUGAUUGAAUGUGCAGAUUGCAGUAAUUUGUCAUAAAGUUACAGACUUUAAAAAAGACUUACGAUUAGGAUAAAUUUUAGUUGAAGGUUCAGCAGGGGGUGAAGUAGUCAAGUACAAUGUAAAAUAAUUUUGUGUAAAGUUAAGUAAAUAAUACAAGAAAAAAUUAUAUUGUCUAA